RNAcentral lists this transfer RNA (69 nucleotides) under Bos taurus (domestic cattle). It matches the Rfam family "tRNA". From Rfam's summary of the family: Transfer RNA (tRNA) molecules are approximately 80 nucleotides in length. Their secondary structure includes four short double-helical elements and three loops (D, anti-codon, and T loops). RNAcentral also lists the same sequence under 1 other name. The record is from Rfam by way of RNAcentral. Lineage: Eukaryota; Metazoa; Chordata; Mammalia; Artiodactyla; Bovidae.
UCCCUGGUGGUUCAGGUGAAGUGUCUGCCUGCAAUGCAGGAGAUCCAGGUUCAAUUCCUGGGUUGGGAA